RNAcentral lists this ribosomal RNA (259 nucleotides) under uncultured bacterium. RNAcentral's name for it is "partial 16S ribosomal RNA". It matches the Rfam family "Bacterial small subunit ribosomal RNA", at positions 795 to 1052 of the family's 1533-position model. The record is from RNAcentral.
CCGCGCUGUAAACGUUGUAUGCUGGACAUUGGUGAUAUACUGUCAGUGUCUGAGGGAAACCAUUAAGCAUACCACCUGGGGAGUACGCCGGCAACGGUGAAACUCAAAGGAAUUGACGGGGGCCCGCACAAGCGGAGGAACAUGUGGUUUAAUUCGAUGAUACGCGAGGAACCUUACCCGGGAUUGAAAUGUAUAUGCUGACAGGUAGAAAUACUUGUUGUUCCCUUCGGGGACAUAUAUGUAGGUGCUGCAUGGUUGU